RNAcentral lists this ribosomal RNA (445 nucleotides) under uncultured bacterium. Its description in RNAcentral is "partial 16S ribosomal RNA". It matches the Rfam family "Bacterial small subunit ribosomal RNA", at positions 354 to 796 of the family's 1533-position model. The record is from RNAcentral.
GUGAGGAAUAUUGGUCAAUGGGCGGGAGCCUGAACCAGCCAAGUCGCGUGAAGGAAGAAGGAUCUAUGGUUCGUAAACUUCUUUUGCAGGGGAAUAAAGUGCAGGACGUGUCCUGUUUUGUAUGUACCCUGAGAAUAAGGAUCGGCUAACUCCGUGCCAGCAGCCGCGGUAAUACGGAGGAUCCGAGCGUUAUCCGGAUUUAUUGGGUUUAAAGGGUGCGUAGGAGGUUUGAUAAGUCAGCGGUGAAAGUUUGCAGCUUAACUGUAAAAAUGCCGUUGAAACUGUCGGACUUGAGUGUAAAUGAGGUAGGCGGAAUGCGUGGUGUAGCGGUGAAAUGCAUAGAUAUCACGCAGAACUCCGAUUGCGAAGGCAGCUUACUAAGCUACAACUGACACUGAAGCACGAAAGCGUGGGGAUCAAACAGGAUUAGAAACCCUUGUAGUCC